GUUCCCCCGUCUCUUCCUAUUCUUCUUCAUCCUUCUCUUCCUCCUCUUCUUCUUUCUCCUCUCCCUCUUUCUCCUCUUCUUUAUCAUCCUGUUCCCCCUCUUCUUCAUGCUCCUGUUCAUCCUCCUAUACCUGCUCGUCUUCUUCAUGCUCCUGUUCAUCCUCCUAUACCUGCUCGUCUUCUUCGUCCUCGCCGGCCCUUGAUCUUCCUUUCUUCCUCUGCUCUGCUCGCAGGAGGCGGUGGAGUGGGAGCACAAGAGCAAGGUCGCCGGCAGGAUGCACGCCUGCGGCCACGACGCCCACGUCGCCAUGCUCCUCGGCGCCGCCCGGAUACUGAAAUCCCGCGAGGCCCACCUCCAGGUCAGACACACACAGGCAGACAAGAUAGAUGAAUAGGUGGAUAGAGAGAGCGAGAGAGAGCUGACCUUGUGCAGUGGGUUUCUGGCAGGGGACGGUGAGGUUGAUCUUCCAGCCGGCGGAGGAGGCGGGGAAUGGCGCCAUGAGGAUGAUCAAGGAAGGGGCGCUGGAGGGAGCAGAGGCCAUAUUCGCCGCCCACGUCUCGCACGAGCACCCCACCUCCAUCGUCGCCUCCAUGCCCGGCGCCAUUCUCGCCGGCUGCGGCUUCUUCAAGGCCGUCCUCACCUCCCCGGAGCACGGGGGCGGCGCCAGCCCCAUCAUCGCCGGCGCCGCCGUCGUCGUCUCCCUGCAGAGUCUCGUCUCCCGCGAAGCCGACCCCCUCGACUCCCAGGUCGUCUCCGUCGCCUCCUUCAACGGCGACGCCGCCAGCUCCGCCACCCUCGGCGGCACCUUCCGCGCCUUCUCCAACGCCAGCUUCCACCACCUCCGCCGGAGGAUCCAAGAGGUCCGCCCUUCCGCUCCAUCGCCACCUGCCAUUCUCACAUACAAUUUCAUUUCGUGAGCUCACCAGUUCAUCACCACCUCAUCUGGCACGGGCAGGUGAUCGAGGAGCAGACGAGAGUGUACAGGUGCGCGGUGGAGGUGGACUUCUUCGAGGACCAGCAGUUCUACCCGCCGACGGUCAACGACGAGGCGAUGGCGGCGCUGGUGAAGGAGGUGGCCGUUGACCUGCUGGGGCGGGAGAGGUACUGGGAAGUGCUGCCGAGAAUGGGGGCUGAGGACUUCGCCU
RNAcentral lists this long non-coding RNA (1145 nucleotides) under Spirodela polyrhiza (greater duckweed). Its description in RNAcentral is "long non-coding RNA (SPOL_LNC002040)". Lineage: Eukaryota; Viridiplantae; Streptophyta; Magnoliopsida; Alismatales; Araceae. The record is from RNAcentral.